CUGCAGCCCGGCUUGAACGGAGCUCUUUUUUCUGGGAUUGCGACGGAGAAAUUUUGCAAAGAUUGCCUCAUUUUGCUCGCAAUACCAGAAAAAAAGCGGGAGUGGAAGACGGAAAAAGC
RNAcentral lists this unclassified non-coding RNA (119 nucleotides) under Chryseobacterium scophthalmum. Its description in RNAcentral is "Flavo-1 RNA". The record is from RNAcentral. Lineage: Bacteria; Pseudomonadati; Bacteroidota; Flavobacteriia; Flavobacteriales; Weeksellaceae.